This 439-nucleotide ribosomal RNA is filed under the name uncultured bacterium. RNAcentral describes it as "partial 16S ribosomal RNA". It matches the Rfam family "Bacterial small subunit ribosomal RNA", at positions 339 to 795 of the family's 1533-position model. The record is from RNAcentral.
CUACGGGCGGCUGCAGUGAGGAAUAUUGCACAAUGGGGGGAACCCUGAUGCAGCAACGCCGCGUGGAGGAUGACGCAUUUCGGUCUGUAAACUCCUUUUAUAUGUCAAGAAAAUGACGGUAGCAUAUGAAUAAGCACCGGCUAACUCCGUGCCAGCAGCCGCGGUAAUACGGAGGGUGCAAGCGUUACUCGGAAUCACUGGGCGUAAAGGACGCGUAGGCGGGUUAUCAAGUCAGGUGUGAAAUCCUACAGCUUAACUGUAGAACUGCACUUGAAACUGGUAACCUAGAGUAUGGGAGGGGCAGAUGGAAUUAGUGGUGUAGGGGUAAAAUCCGUAGAUAUCACUAGGAAUACCUAAAGCGAAGGCGAUCUGCUGGAACAUAACUGACGCUAAGGCGUGAAAGCGUGGGGAGCAAACAGGAUUAGAUACCCGAGUAGUC